Molecule: ribosomal RNA, 253 nt
Filed under: uncultured bacterium
Lineage: Bacteria
Description: partial 16S ribosomal RNA
Rfam family: Bacterial small subunit ribosomal RNA
Source: RNAcentral
UACAGAGGGUGCAAGCGUUGUUCGGAAUUACUGGGCGUAAAGCGCGUGUAGGCGGUCUGUUAAGUCUCGUGUGAAAGCCCCGGGCUCAACCCGGGAAGUGCGCGAGAUACUGGCGGACUGGAGUGGCGGAGAGGAUGGCGGAAUACCCGGUGUAGAGGUGAAAUUCGUAGAUAUCGGGUGGAACACCUGUGGCGAAGGCGGCCAUCUGGACGUCAACUGACGCUGAGACGCGAAAGCGUGGGGAGCAAACAGG